GAUGAACGCUGGCGGCGUGCCUAAUACAUGCAAGUCGAGCGAACGGACGAGAAGCUUGCUUUUCUGAUGUUAGCGGCGGACGGGUGAGUAACACGUGGAUAACCUACCUAUAAGACUGGGAUAACUUCGGGAAACCGGAGUUAAUACCGGAUAAUAUUUUGAACCGCAUGGUUCAAAAGUGAAUGACGGUCUUGCUGUCACUUAUGGAUGGAUCCGCGCUGCAUUAGCUAGUUGGUAAGGUAACGGCUUACCAAGGCAACGAUGGCUAGCAGACCUGUGAGGGGGAUGCGCGCCACUGGGGCUGAGACACGGUACAGACUCCUACGGGCGGCAGCAGUAGGUAAUCUUCGGAAAUGGGCGAAAGCCUGACGGAGCAACGCCGCGUGAGUGAUGAAGGUCUUCGGAUCGUAAGACUCUGUUCUUAGGGAAGACCAUAUGUGUAAGUAACUGUGCACAGCUUGACGGUACCUAAUAAGAAAGCCACGGCUAACUACGUG
RNAcentral lists this ribosomal RNA (497 nucleotides) under uncultured bacterium. RNAcentral describes it as "partial 16S ribosomal RNA". It matches the Rfam family "Bacterial small subunit ribosomal RNA", at positions 28 to 507 of the family's 1533-position model. The record is from RNAcentral.